This 168-nucleotide ribosomal RNA is filed under the name uncultured bacterium. Its description in RNAcentral is "partial 16S ribosomal RNA". It matches the Rfam family "Bacterial small subunit ribosomal RNA", at positions 1334 to 1500 of the family's 1533-position model. The record is from RNAcentral.
GCUAGUAAUCGCGCAUCAGCCACGGCGCGGUGAAUACGUUCCCGGGCCUUGUACACACCGCCCGUCAAGCCAUGGGAGUCGGAAAUGCCCGAAGUCUGUGACCCAACCUUAGGGAGGGAGCAGCCGAAGGCAGGUCGGAUGACUGGGGUGAAGUCGUAACAAGGUAUC